UGUCUUAAAGUAUAUAAUUUUAAGUCCAAUCUGCUCACUGAAUUUAUUUAAAGAGCCGCAGUAUUUUAACUGUGCAAAGGUAGCAUAAUAAAUAGUUUCUUAAUUAGUAACUGGAAUGAAAGAUUAGACGAGUAACUAACUUUUUUUAUUAUUUAAUUUGANUUUAAUUUUUAAGUGAAAAAUCUUANAUUUUAUUAAGGGACGAGAAGACCCUAUAGAUUUUAAUAUAUUUUUUGUUUUUGUAAGUAUUUAAAUGAAUUAGUUUAUUUAAUUGGGGCGAUUUUGUGAAAUAAUUAACUUAAAUUUGUCUAACCAUAAANGAUUGAAUUUUUUGAUCUGAAAUUNUUAAAUUUAAGAAAAAAUUACCUUAGGGAUAACAGUGUAAUUUCUUUUAAGAGUUCAUAUUUAAAAAGAAGCUUACUACCUCGAUGUUGAAUUAAGAUAAUGUGUUGAAGUAUAAUGUAACAUAAUUAGUCUGUUCGACUAUUAAAUUC
Molecule: ribosomal RNA, 494 nt
Filed under: Spurostigma sp. 3.2.2004.16
Lineage: Eukaryota; Metazoa; Arthropoda; Insecta; Psocodea; Spurostigmatidae
Description: partial 16S ribosomal RNA
Source: RNAcentral